Molecule: transfer RNA, 94 nt
Filed under: Candidatus Omnitrophota bacterium
Lineage: Bacteria; Pseudomonadati; Candidatus Omnitrophota
Description: tRNA-Sec
Rfam family: Selenocysteine transfer RNA
Source: RNAcentral
GGAGGUGAGAGGGAUCCGGUGAUCCUCGCGGUCUUCAAAACCGUUGUGCCGCCUAACGGUGGCAGGUGGGUUCGACUCCCAUUCCCCUCCGCCA